RNAcentral lists this long non-coding RNA (3796 nucleotides) under Homo sapiens (human). Its description in RNAcentral is "non-protein coding lnc-NFIL3-3:1". The record is from RNAcentral. Lineage: Eukaryota; Metazoa; Chordata; Mammalia; Primates; Hominidae.
CUGGAAUUAUUUAGAUAGAUUUUCCAUUGUUGACAGAGUCUAGCUUUUCUGGAAUGAACUGUACAUGGUAGUGGUAUAUUAUUCUUUCAUGCUAAAUUGUAAUUCUGGAUUCUGUAUAUGCUUAAAUUGGAAUGGUAUUUUAUGCAUCCAUUUUUAUAGAUGAGAUUAUUAGCCCUUAACAUUUUAAAAGGUAUGUGGAAAUCUUAGUAUUAAUUUUUAGAGAUAGGGUCUUACCCUGUAACCUGGAACUCCUGGGCUCAACUGAUCUUCCCAUCUCGGCAUUCCAAGUAGCUGGGAUUACAGGUAUGCCCUACCACACCUGGCUGGUUUUUUAAAAAAAUUUUUGUGGAGAUGAGUGUCUUGCUAUAUUGCCCAGGCUGGUCUUGAGCUCCUGGGCUCAAACGAUUUUCCCACCUCAGCUUCCCAAAGUGCUGGCAUUACAGGUGUUGUAUAAUACAUUUCUUUUAAGAGGUGAUUUUAUCCCAUUUUCACAUUCUUUACUUGGGGAAGAAAACCACAUGGCAAACAUAUUUUAUAAACCCAUUGUCUUCCAGACUUGUUUCUUGUCCUCUAUGUUCUAUAAGCUAUUGUUCUUGAGUCUUGCCAGUGUAUAAGGUGACAGGUUUUGUUUCCAUGGUGCUAUGUUGUAAGUUCAGUGUUUAUGUUUUUCUGUGCAUAUCACAUAAAGAUCCUUUUUUAAAAAAAGUUUAGUGUUUCAUUACUUGCAUUUUUCUUUAGAUGUGGCGCUGCAAAGUGAGUCAGUAACCUUUGUUGAGUUUCGAAAAAAUAAUGACCUGUUACAGUGUUUUGUUCUCGUUUGUUAUUGUUUGGAAAAAGAGUCCAAAAUAAUUUUAUUAAAGUCACAUUACUCUGUAGAUAGACAUAGGCCAUAUUUUUGAGAAUUCACAUUAAUAACAAUUUUGUAUAUGCAAUACUCUUUUUUUUUUUUUUUUGGGAGACAGGGUCUUACUCUGUCAUCUGCAGUCUCAGCUCACUGCAACCUCUGCCUCUGGGGUUCAGUGGAUUCUUGUGCUUCGCUUUCUCAAGUAGCUGGGAUUACAGGCGUCCGCCACCACACCCGGCUAAUGUUUUUGCAAUUUUAGUAGAGAUAGGGUUUCACCAUGUUGGCCAGGCUGGUUUCAAACUCCUGGUCUCAAGUGAUCCGCCUGCCUUGGCCUUCCAAAAUGCUGAGAUUAUAGGCAUGAGCCACCGCGCUCGACCUGUUCCUAAUUUUUUUUUCAAAUUUUGAAAUGCAGAUAAUAUUAUGUACCCCAUUAGCUUAUGGGGUACGUAAAGGAAAUUUGUAUUUGAUAUUGGCUCUGGUUAUUACUUUUGUCCUUCCAUGGACAAUCACUUAAAACCUUUAAUGCAUGAAGCUGUAUUUUAGAAAGCUAUUUUGGUACUAGUCUCAAAGGAUAGAUUGCUCUAUCUUUCCCACCCUAAUGAAACUAGGUCACUGGCAUUUGGCACAUCUCCAUGAUGUGAGAUUUGAUGUUCAGAUGUGCUGUCUAGAAAUGAUAAUGCAUUGUCAGCAAGACCACUUUUCAUUUCAUCAACAUAAUUUCCACUGCCCUGGAAUCAAUUUAUUCCUUGACCUGUUAAUAAUUACACUUGAUCACUAGCAUUUCAGUGGCAGAGAAAGCCUCUGGAAAUGGCCAUAGUCAUCCUUUUGGGUGAUAAGUUAUGGGAUUUCUGUUCGGCUUGGAGAUUUGGCCUGUUGAAGUGGUUGACAUUUUAUGAAAACAAAGGAGCAAACUUUUACCUGAUGCCGUGUUAAGAUUCACUCUGUCAAGUGGUUGAGAACACUUAUUUAAUUAUCUAACUGUACUUUUGCAUUACCUUUUUUUAUGGCCAACUUUAAACAUGCCUAGGGAAGUUCCCGUUCUAUUCCCAGCCAGAAGCAAGUGUUUGAAAAAUGAGAAAUCACCAUAGAGCUCCUCUAAGAUUAAUUUUUCACAGGUCCAAGAAUGCCUAAUAUUUAAAAUGAGCUACUUUGAAAUCAGUCAUGUAUCACAUCAGUGUUUCAAAAAGAGAUUGAGAAAAUAUGGGCUGUUACAAAACCACUAACCUCACCUGUUGCUCCGUGGUGAUUUGGAGCCCUGGAGCAGGGCUGCCUGGAUCUGAAACUUUGCUCUGUGGCCUUUUGGGAAAGUGACUUGCCUCUCUGUGUUUCUGUCCUAAUCCUUAAGUGCAAGAGUGGUCAUGCAUAUUUUAUAGUGGCAUUGGGAGGAUGACAGGAAUGAAUACAUGUAGAAGGCUUUGAAAGGGUUCUGGUAGAUCACCACCCAGUGUGUGUUGUACUAGUCAUCAUUGUUACUGUAACUUAAUGUGUUUUAGUGUUAAUGGAUGUCCUUUUUUCUCUUUUGCUAUCCCAGCCCCUUCCUUGCCUAAUUGUUACUCUCUUCUGUGUGGUUAGGAGCAACUAGUUCAGUUUAAUUUCCCUUAGAGAGCAAGUUUCAGAUAUAGCAUCAUUUUGAACUACUAAGGAAGUUUAAUUCUCCUAGGAUUGGUCAUAUAGCCUUCUUUAGCAAAAUUGAACAGGAACCUUAGGUGAAGCUUGGUUAGCCAGGUUUAUGGAUCUGGGGCCUUUUCUAUGCUUUAAUUUUAUAUAUUUGACUGUUUAGUAGAUGUUUAUCUUCCUUAUCUGAAGUUCACUUUCAUCUUGUUGUUGUUAACCUACAUAAAGAUUUAUUUAAUGUGGAUUAAGUCCUCUGUUAUUUAGAAAUAUAAAUUGAGUUGCCAAUCUGAUAUUUACUUUCUCAAUUUUUAUACACUUGACUUUGCAGUUAUACAUUUUUUGCUAAUUAUUCAUAAGGCUUACAACUACUACUAGUAAUUCAACAGAAAAUAAGUACUGUAUUGUAAAAUCCUAAAGGAUUUGAGUUUUUAAUUCAAGUAUAUUAAGAACACAUCCUUAGGUAUUGAAAUAAGAACCUUAUAACAUCCUGUCAUCUUCCAGUUUGCAGUUUCACCUCUUUGCUAGUGCUGAUGAGGUCAUUGAUGUGUCAUCAUAACACUCUGAGUGCCAGUAGGGAAGGAACUGUUUCAUUUGAUUGACUACUGUAUUAACAGUAUCUAGCCCAUUGCUCAUUACAUGAUAGGUGCUUAGUAAAUAUUUGUUAAAUGAAAUAAAAUGAUUUUCUCUAUAUUUUGUAUUUUCUAGGAUUUUUAGGAGGCAUACCCAGAAAAUAGGCUUAUAUAUUUUUUUUGGAUUUGUUUCUGCUAAUAAUCAGUAUGCUUUGCACGUUUGUAUUCUGUUUCCAUUUCUUUUGUUGCUGUAGUUUGCUUUUCAAUAGGCACAGUUUCAGUACCUGUUUCCCUGCCCUACAUAACACCUUGAGAGAGACCUUCUCUUGUGUGCCCGUUAUUUUUAAUCCUUAGACUCAAAAGAACAGAUUGUCUUUCUUAAAUUCAAAUAUACCUGGUCAGCCCUUUUCCACCUCUGAGAAGAGAGAAAAGAAAGUAUAUUAAGAUUCUGGAAUUAUUUGUGUUUUAUGGCUGUGCAGAAUUAAAGUGGCAAAAAUUGUUCGUCAAAGAGCUCAGAUCCUUUUAAGAUGCAAACCACUGAAUUUGUUUGUCAGUGAUUGCUCUGGAACUGGAGGUAUCCCCCUGCCAAUGCCUGGUUUGGGGGCCACUGUGUAAUUAUUUUUUACUGAUUUGCCUCAUGAAUGUACACAUAUGCAUGUUAUUUUUGAUGCCUUAAAAACAUCUGUUAUAAAGACAGAGGGUUUUAAAUACUUCAAUUUGGUACCUUUAUUUUGAGCGACCUUAAAUAAAUGUAACAUUUUCAAUGCCA